RNAcentral lists this ribosomal RNA (488 nucleotides) under uncultured Chloroflexota bacterium. RNAcentral's name for it is "bacterial SSU rRNA". It matches the Rfam family "Bacterial small subunit ribosomal RNA", at positions 998 to 1503 of the family's 1533-position model. The record is from RNAcentral. Lineage: Bacteria; Bacillati; Chloroflexota.
CACCCGUAUGGGGUGUCCCUUCGGGGCGAUUGCACAGGUGCUGCAUGACUGUCGUCAGCUCGUGUCGUGAGAUGUUGGGUUCAGUCCCGCAACGAGCGCAACCCCUGCCGCUAGUUAGGAUGUCUAGCGGGACCGCCGCGAUCAACGCGGAGGAAGGCGGGGACGACGUCAAGUCAGCACGGCCCUUACGUCCUGGGCUACACACACGCUACAAUGGUCGGUACAACGGGCUGCCAACCCGCGAGGGGGAGCCAAUCCCAACAAAACCGGCCUCAGUUCAGAUUGUAGGCUGAAACCCGCCUGCAUGAAGGAGGAGUUGCUAGUAACCGUGGGUCAGCACACCACGGUGAAUACGUUCCCGGGUCUUGUACACACCGCCCGUCACACCACGAAAGUCGGCAACACCUGAAGCCGCUGAGCCAACCGCAAGGGGGCAGGCGUCGAGGGUGGGGUCGGUGAUUGGGGUGAAGUCGUAACAAGGUAGCCGU